UGGACGCCAGUCUGCAUGGAGCCGACCUUGAAAUACCACCCUUUAAUGUUUGAUGUUCUAACGUGGACCCGUUACCCGGGUUGCGGACAGUGUCUGGUGGGUAGUUUGACUGGGGCGGUCUCCUCCUAAAGAGUAACGGAGGAGCACGAAGGUUGGCUAAUCCUGGUCGGACAUCAGGAGGUUAGUGCAAUGGCAUAAGCCAGCUUGACUGCGAGCGUGACGGCGCGAGCAGGUGCGAAAGCAGGUCAUAGUGAUCCGGUGGUUCUGAAUGGAAGGGCCAUCGCUCAACGGAUAAAAGGUACUCCGGGGAUAACAGGCUGAUACCGCCCAAGAGUUCAUAUCGACGGCGGUGUUUGGCACCUCGAUGUCGGCUCAUCACAUCCUGGGGCUGAAGUAGGUCCCAAGGGUAUGGCUGUUCGCCAUUUAAAGUGGUACGCGAGCUGGGUUUAGAACGUCGUGAGACAGUUCGGUCCCUAUCUGCCGUGGGCGCUGGAGAACUGAGGGGGGCUGCUCCUAGUACGAGAGGACCGGAGUGGACGCAUCACUGGUGUUCGGGUUGUCAUGCCAAUGGCACUGCCCGGUAGCUAAAUGCGGAAGAGAUAAGUGCUGAAAGCAUCUAAGUACGAAACUUGCCCCGAGAUGAGUUCUCCCUG
RNAcentral lists this ribosomal RNA (653 nucleotides) under Salmonella enterica subsp. enterica serovar Weltevreden. RNAcentral's name for it is "partial 23S ribosomal RNA". It matches the Rfam family "Bacterial large subunit ribosomal RNA", at positions 2165 to 2817 of the family's 2925-position model. Lineage: Bacteria; Pseudomonadati; Pseudomonadota; Gammaproteobacteria; Enterobacterales; Enterobacteriaceae. The record is from RNAcentral.